This 719-nucleotide ribosomal RNA is filed under the name Kimberleytrachia setosa. RNAcentral's name for it is "partial 16S ribosomal RNA". The stretch from base 320 to 484 matches the Rfam family "Archaeal large subunit ribosomal RNA", at positions 1876 to 2091 of the family's 2987-position model. The record is from RNAcentral. Lineage: Eukaryota; Metazoa; Mollusca; Gastropoda; Stylommatophora; Camaenidae.
CACGAAACUGUAUGAGCUAACUAAAAUUAAAAUUAUGUUGCAAAAUAACUAAGAAGUUAUAGUUAGGGGUGAAAGGCCUUUCAAACGCAGUGAUAUCUUGAUUUUCCUAAAAGGUAUUGAGUACAUUUAAAAAUUUAGAGCGAUUAGGUUUUAAAUAGCCAUUAAAUAUAAUUAGCUAAAUACGUUGAUAUAAAAGUCUACAAAAGAGUAAAUUAAUAUUAAUUAUUGAGAAUUAUGAUAUGUAGGGAAAUAGUUGUUAACUUUAUUUCAAGUUGAUAAUGUUAAUAUCAGUAAUUUUAAAGGUGCCAAUAGUGAACUCGGCAUUAAGCUUUCAACUGUUUAUCAAAAACAUAGCUGUGUGUAUCAUACGCAGUAAUUUCUGCUCAAUGAGACAUUAAAUAGCCGCAGUACCCUGACUGUGCAAAGGUAGCGUAAUCAAUUGUCUUUUAAUUAGAGACAGGUAUGAAGGAAUAUAUGGGGGCUUUCUUUACCAUUGGCAUAGGGAGAAUUUGCUUAUCGAGUGAAAAUACUCGUGGAUAAAUAAUAGACGAGAAGACCCUUGAAAUUUUUAGUAACUUUUUGUUGGGGCAACAUAGUAGCAGAUAACCUACUAGAAUUAACCAGAAAUUAUGUGGUGUGAUUAAAUUACUCUAGGGAUAACAGCGUAAUCCUUGAUUGUUUGCGACCUCGAUGUUGGAUUAGGGAAUUGUCGCUUAGAA